Molecule: non-coding RNA, 47 nt
Organism: Gonium pectorale
Lineage: Eukaryota; Viridiplantae; Chlorophyta; Chlorophyceae; Chlamydomonadales; Volvocaceae
Source: Rfam
AAUCCGGUGUUUUUCAACACCACCUCAUUUCUUUUGCGCGAAGGAAU